AUGGAGGCGUUGAGCGUAUCAAAACUCAUAAAGGAUUUUAAGAUCGCGAAGAUUGAUAGGUGGGCAAAUAGGGUGGCGCAUGAGAUUGCAAAAUUCAGUUUUGGCAGUAGGUCCGAUGGCCUCUUAUGUAAUAGUGUUCCGCCAUGUGUAACUGCUUUUGUAAUGAACGAUUGUAAGAUAACCAAAACUGGGUCCUCUACCAAGCACCUGUCCAGCCCUGUGCGAGCUACACUUCAAUUUGUAUUCUCAGAUAUGGAAGAUUUAAAAGCCUUUGUGAAAGAUUCCGGUUUUGUAGAAGCCGAUGAUCAGACACACCAUGACCUUACUUCUGGAUACAAUAUUGAUGAGGUCGAUUCCUCGGGUGGAUUGGAUUCUCACCCGCUCCAAGUGAAACUUGAGCGACGGCAUGCAAGGGACUACCAAAGAAGAGAUGAUGCGGGUUCAGAAUCUGACAUUAUCUGUGUUAGUGCUGGCAGAUCCAAAGGCGGAAAGAAACGGACAGUUUCACACACUAGCAACCGUAGGAUCAUCAGCAAAAAGGGCCGACCAACGUUACUGGGUCAAACACCGUUGAUCCACUUGCUCCACCUCUCAUAUGACCUUACUGGGUCAAACUUUGGAACCACAGAUGAUAGGCAUGGUCGAUAG
This 648-nucleotide ribosomal RNA is filed under the name Triticum aestivum (bread wheat). RNAcentral describes it as "partial small subunit ribosomal RNA". Lineage: Eukaryota; Viridiplantae; Streptophyta; Magnoliopsida; Poales; Poaceae. The record is from RNAcentral.